This is a non-coding RNA of Euryarchaeota archaeon RBG_16_67_27, 71 nucleotides long. The record is from Rfam. NCBI's taxonomy places the organism in Archaea, Methanobacteriati, Methanobacteriota.
GCGUGGGUAGUCUAACGGUAGGACGCCGGCCUUCCAAGCCUGCGACGCGGGUUCGACUCCCGCCCCACGCA